RNAcentral lists this ribosomal RNA (309 nucleotides) under Triticum aestivum (bread wheat). Its description in RNAcentral is "partial small subunit ribosomal RNA". Lineage: Eukaryota; Viridiplantae; Streptophyta; Magnoliopsida; Poales; Poaceae. The record is from RNAcentral.
AUGGACGACUCCAUGAGCGGGACCACUGCUGUCGCGGCGCUCGUGGCCGGCGGCGCACUCCACAGGGCUCAGGACAUCCGCGGCGGCGCGGACUGUGGACCCAGAGGUAGGGCCCAUGAUGCGUCCGUUCGAGGGGCUGGUCGGGUUGGCGCGGGAUCUGAGCCACCGUUGAUGGAUUUCUCGCAGCUUGGAUCCUGUUGCUUUGGAUCAGGUGCUUGCUAUAGGAGAAGAUUAAUGGUCCGACACGACUUCAUGAUUUAUGAGCUGGAGGAGAGGGCAUUGGAUGAACCAAUCAGUUCGAAGCCGUAG